GAGAGCACUGCAUGGUACAUAGGGGAGUAACUGUGUUUGGAGGAAGGCAAAGGGGACUGUUUUGUUUGGACUUUUGUUAUUCUAGAAGGGAUGGCUCUUAAUAGUUUGGCCAGAAGCCUGAACUAAACAAACAACAGAGUAGGAAAGACUGCCUACCUACAGGGAUGGAAACUGAGACAGUAUCUGCAACCAAUGCCAGAGAGGGGACACAAGGCCUGAAGAAGUGAAAUGAUUUCCCUUACAUUUACACAACGAGCCAGUGGCAGAUCCAGUGUACAACCCAGACAUCCUGAGUCAGUCUUCUAUUUGAAGCACUAAGGCCACUCUGAUUCUUGGUAUUUGGUAGGAAACAGUUUCAGAGAUGAUGCAACUUGAUGUGGAAAGGGCAAGCCAAGCAUCUAUCAAACUGGAGACAACUGGAAAUCUAAAAAAGCUGUGAGCUGCCUCAUCAAUGAAAGUGUAUCAAUCACUUUGAACAGGGAAAAGAAUUUCAGUUGUUUAUAAUGAGGGAACAAGUGGGGACUCUCAGUUCCUGAAGAUAACUAUGCCGCUUCUCCCUUGUGGAUAGAAACUAACAGGUGAACACCAAAGUAUCCAGGAGGACCCUUUCCUCUGAAGGGCCACAGAUUGCAGACCAGGGAUUGUGCUGGUAUUGAAGGACACCAAGAUAUAUCAACUCAUUUUUACAACAAUUGCAAGUGUCUACUGCAUUCCUGGGAGGCAGCACUUUUAAGCUGACUUGUUUUUAAAAGAAGUGAGUUGGGACCCAGUCCUGCAGAUUCUCCUGAAGAUCACAGAAAAGAGUAAGCCUUUCACCACUACAACAUCUCUCAGCUCAUCAGAAGAAACAGCAGCUCCUGCAUGUGACCAGACUGCACAUGUGCCCUCUCCCAAAGCAACUGAGCAUACUCCAUCCUGGGGCUGCAAAGACUGAGCAAGAUUUGCCCUGCAAUUGCUGCUCCAGGCCACAGUGGCAUCAGGCACAGGAACAGAGACCAAGGAGAUCGUGUCUCUUGUCCUUUCAAGAUCCCUCUGCUGGCACCCAAAGAAGGAAAAAGCUGCCUGACUUAGAAUGAAGAGAGGUGAGGGCUGAGAAGAUAGGUGCAACUAAUGAGGCAGGAGUACCUCAGUGUUGUAUCAAGCAGGCAAGAUACUAACAAGCUUCAACAGAACUUUAUUUACAGUGGAAACCCCUUUACCAAGCUGCUGCUGCACCCUCUGUAACUCCCACUCAACCUCCUCAACUCCUCCCCUUCCUUCCUGUUCCCUGUCCUUUCAGACUCCCAACAGCCAGUGGCCCCAGAUCUAAUAAUUACAAGCACAUCUAAAUACCACACUCAGACAGCAGCUUCUUUCACUAUAUAGCCUGAUUCAUCCUCAGAGCAUCGCCCAUAAUAUGCACUGAAUUAGGCACAGUCCUAUAGAAAAAAGUGUGAUCAUGUAAUUAAAGACUAUCAUAAAUACAAGACACCAAAUUAAGAUUGCAUGAGCAACCUUAAUUCAGGUUUUUAACUUUGAAUGCUUGACUUUGCUACUUUAAUGGUCUUCUAAAGUAUUUGUUUUACACAUAUGCUUAACUUUAGACAGUA
This is a long non-coding RNA of Mauremys reevesii (Reeves's turtle), 1589 nucleotides long. RefSeq lists it as uncharacterized. The transcript has 6 exons. Lineage: Eukaryota; Metazoa; Chordata; Testudines; Geoemydidae. The record is from RefSeq and is a predicted model, not a curated record.